Transfer RNA from Herbinix sp., 71 nucleotides. It matches the Rfam family "tRNA". From Rfam's summary of the family: Transfer RNA (tRNA) molecules are approximately 80 nucleotides in length. Their secondary structure includes four short double-helical elements and three loops (D, anti-codon, and T loops). Further hydrogen bonds mediate the characteristic L-shaped molecular structure. tRNAs have two regions of fundamental functional importance: the anti-codon, which is responsible for specific mRNA codon recognition, and the 3' end, to which the tRNAs corresponding amino acid is attached (by aminoacyl-tRNA synthetases). tRNAs cope with the degeneracy of the genetic code in two manners: having more than one tRNA (with a specific anti-codon) for a particular amino acid; and 'wobble' base-pairing, i.e. permitting non-standard base-pairing at the 3rd anti-codon position. The record is from Rfam. NCBI's taxonomy places the organism in Bacteria, Bacillati, Bacillota, Clostridia, Lachnospirales, Lachnospiraceae.
GCGGAUAUAGUUUAGUGGUAAAACACGAGCUUCCCAAGCUUGGGAUGCGGGUUCGAUUCCCGUUAUCCGCU